GCAAGAUACCACGGGCGCACGGCGGAUGCCUUGGCACAGGGAGCCGAUGAAGGACGCGGCAAGCUGCGAUAAUCCCCGGCGAGGAGCACACAUCCUUCGACCCGGGGGUCUCCGAAUGGGCGAACCCAUCCACAGCGGUGUGGAUAUCCCCACCCCGAACACAUAGGGGCGGGGAGGACAACCCGGGGAACUGAAACAUCUAAGUACCCGGAGGAGAGGAAAUCAAUCUCGAGACUCCCCGAGUAGCGGCGAGCGAAAGGGGACCGAUGGCCAAACCGUCGAGCGGGCAUACCCGGCAGGGGUUCCGCCGGCGGGGUUGCAGGGCCGCGCAUCCGGGGGNNNNNNNNNNAUACCCGGCAGGGGUUCCGCCGGCGGGGUUGCAGGGCCGCGCAUCCGGGGGCUGCCGCCCCCGGGCGCAGGUCCGGCUGGGGAGCGGAACGGCAUGGGAGGGCCGGCCGCAGCGGGUGACAGCCCCGUACGCGAACCCAGACCGGACGGCGCGACGCGGUCCCUGAGUAGGGCCGGGCACGUGAAACCCGGUCCGAACCUGGGUGGACCACCAUCCAAGCCUGAGUACUACCCUGUGACCGAUAGCGCACCAGUACCGUGAGGGAAAGGUGAAAAGCACCCCGGGAGGGGAGUGAAACAGUACCUGAAACCGUGCGCCCACGAGCAGUCGGAGCAACUUUUAGUUGUGACGGCGUGCCUUUUGUAGAAUGAGCCAGCGAGUCGCUGGCGCGGGGCGAGGUUAACCGGAAGGGAGCCGAAGCGAAAGCGAGCCUUAACAGGGCGACUUGAGUCCCGCGCCGCGGACGCGAAGCCGGGUGAGCUAUCCGUGGGCAGGCUGAAGCGGGGGUAAGACCCCGUGGAGGGCCGAACGCACGUCGGUUGAAAACGGCGGCGAUGACCUGCGGAUAGGGGUGAAAGGCCAAUCAAACCCGGAGAUAUCUCGUUCUCCCCGAAAUAGCUUUAGGGCUAGCGUCGCGCGUUCACCGCCGGAGGUAGAGCACCGGAUGGACGAGGGGGCUUCGCCGCCUACCGAAUCCAACCGAACUCCGAAUGCCGGCGGCCCAGAGCGCGGCAGUCAGAGCAUGUGGGCUAAGCUGUGUGCUCGAGAGGGAAACAGCCCGGACCGCCCGCUAAGGUCCCCAAGUUCCAGCCGAGUGGCAAAGGAUGUGCGUCCGCCCAGACAACCAGGAUGUUGGCUUAGAAGCAGCCAUGCAUUCAAAGAGUGCGUAACAGCUCACUGGUCGAGUGGACAUGCGCCGACAAUACACGGGGCUAAGCUGGACACCGAAGCGGCGGGAUUUUAAUUCAUUAGAAUCGGUAGGGGAGCUUCCCAUGGGCGGGGAAGCCGCCGGGCGACCGGCGGUGGAGCGCAUGGGAGUGAGAAUGCUGGCAUGAGUAGCGAGAGACGAGAGAGUAACUCGUCCGCCGUGAACCCGAGGUUUCCUGGGCAAGGCUAAUCCUCCCAGGGUCAGUCGGGGGCUAAGGCGAGGCCGGGAGGCGUAGCCGACGCGCAGCAGGCAGACAUUCCUGCACCGCGCACGCGGCGCUACGACCGACGGGGCGACGGAUGGGGGUGGCUCGGCGGGGUUCUGGACGUCCCCGUGAUGGAGCGCGGCCCGCGGACCAGGGAAAUCCGGUCCGCACGAGGGCGAGGCUCCGGACGAAGCACUUAAGCGAAGCGAGUGAGCCCGAGGUCCCUAGAAAAACCCCUAGGCAGGCGCGUGCGCGCCCGUACCGCAAACCGACACAGGUGGGUGGGUAGAACAUACCGAGGCGAUCGGGUCAACCAUGGUCAAGGAACUCGGCACAAUGGCCCCGUAACUUCGGGAGAAGGGGUGCCCGCGCGUACGUGAACGGACUUGCUCCGGGAGCGGAGGCGGGCCGCAGUGGAGAGGCCCAAGCGACUGUUUACCAAAAACACAGGACUCUGCAGAAGCCGCAAGGCGACGUAUAGGGUCUGACGCCUGCCCGGUGCCGGAAGGUCACGCGGAGGAGUUAGCGCAUCGCGCGAAGCCCCGAAGCCAAGCCCCGGUAAACGGCGGCCGUAACUAUAACGGUCCUAAGGUAGCGAAAUUCCUUGUCGGGUAAGUUCCGACCUGCACGAAAGGCGCAACGACUUGGGCGCUGUCUCGACCAUGGACCCGGUGAAAUUGCACUGGUCGUGAAGAUGCGACUUACCCGCGGAAGGACGGAAAGACCCCGUGAACCUUCACUGCAGCUUGGCAUUGGCCGCUGGUCCCGCGUGUAGAGGAUAGGCAGGAGGCAUCGAUCCGGAGGCGCCAGCCCCCGGGGAGCCGCCCUUGGAAUACUGCCCUCGCGCGACCGGCGUCCUAACCCGAGGCCGUCACCCGGCUCGGGGACCGUGCCAGGCGGGCAGUUUGACUGGGGCGGUCGCCUCCUAAAGGGUAACGGAGGCGCGCGAAGGUCCGCUCGGGACGGUCGGCAACCGUCCUUUUGAAUGCAAGAGUACAAGCGGGCUUGACUGCGAGGCCCACGAGCCGAGCAGGUGCGAAAGCAGGCUCUAGUGAUCCGGCGGCCCCGAGUGGGUGGGCCGUCGCUCAACGGAUAAAAGGUACUCCGGGGAUAACAGGCUGAUCUUGCCCAAGAGUCCACAUCGACGGCAAGGUUUGGCACCUCGAUGUCGGCUCAUCGCAUCCUGGGGCUGGAGCAGGUCCCAAGGGUACGGCUGUUCGCCGUUUAAAGCGGUACGCGAGCUGGGUUCAGAACGUCGUGAGACAGUUCGGUCCCUAUCCUCCGUGGGCGCAGGAGAAUCGAUGGAGGCUGCCCCCAGUACGAGAGGACCGGGGUGGACGCACCUCCGGUGAACCGGUUGUCGACCAACGGCACGGCCGGGUAGCCGCGUGCGGCGCGGAUAACCGCUGAAGGCAUCUAAGCGGGAAGCCGUUCCAGGGAUUAGUUCUCCUUCCGGUAAGGGCCCAGGUAGACUACCUGGUCGAUAGACGGCAGGUGCAAGGGCGGCGACGCCCUCAGCCGAGCCGCACUAAUCGCCCGAGCUCUUCC
This 3030-nucleotide ribosomal RNA is filed under the name Collinsella sp. AF31-11. Its description in RNAcentral is "23S ribosomal RNA". It matches the Rfam family "Bacterial large subunit ribosomal RNA". Lineage: Bacteria; Bacillati; Actinomycetota; Coriobacteriia; Coriobacteriales; Coriobacteriaceae. The record is from RNAcentral.